This 687-nucleotide ribosomal RNA is filed under the name uncultured bacterium. RNAcentral describes it as "bacterial SSU rRNA". It matches the Rfam family "Bacterial small subunit ribosomal RNA", at positions 94 to 803 of the family's 1533-position model. The record is from RNAcentral.
ACCGGCGCACGGGUGCGUAACGCGUAUGCACCUACCUUAUACAGAGGGAUAGCCCAGAGAAAUUUGGAUUAAUACCUUAUAGUAAGGCAUCUGUAAAGAUUUAUCGGUAUAAGAUGGGCAUGCGUAAGAUUAGUUAGUUGGUGAGGUAACGGCUCACCAAGACUUCGAUCUUUAGGGGUUCUGAGAGGAUGAUCCCCCACACUGGUACUGAGAUACGGACCAGACUUCUACGGGAGGCAGCAGUAGGGAAUAUUGGUCAAUGGGCGAGAGCCUGAACCAGCCAUGCCGCGUGCAGGAAGACGGCCUUCGGGUUGUAAACUGCUUUUAUAUGGGAAGAAAACGGCCUUGCGAGGCAGAUUGACGGUACCAUAUGAAUAAGCACCGGCUAACUCCGUGCCAGCAGCCGCGGUAAUACGGAGGGUGCAAGCGUUGUCCGGAUUUAUUGGGUUUAAAGGGUACGUAGGCGGCCAAUUAAGUCAGUGGUGAAAGCCAGCAGCUCAACUGUUGAACUGCCAUUGAUACUGAUUGGCUCGAGUUCUGUUAAGGUAGGCGGAAUUGAUGGUGUAGCGGUGAAAUGCAUAGAUACCAUCAGACACGAUUGCGAACGCAGCUUACUAGCCAGAAACUGACGCUAUGUACGAAAGCGUUGAGAAUCGACAGAUUAGAUACCUUGGUUAGCCACGCUCG